UGCCACCAAAAAAACAAAUCAACAACAAACAAACUCAUUAAUACUACCCUUUAUUUUUGUUUUGUUUUGUUGAAACAAGGUCUCCCUGUGUAGUUCACACUGGCCCUACAAUCCCUGUGAAUUCGAGGCUGGUACUGAGCUCUCAGCAACCUUCCUGCCUUAGCUUCCCCAGUGCCGGGAUUACAGGUGAUCUCCACACCCAGCUAUGUUAAUAUUGCUUGCAAUGUUCAGAGAGAAAAUGUGAUUCUUAUAGUGAAACAGAAAUUGAAGGUACAGGGAAAACAACAGAGUACUCAUUUAGACUAUUUAGUAAGCCAAUGGAAAUUAAGCUCAAGGCCCGUCACAGCUUACUUACUUAUCUAUUUUAUUUAUGAUACAAGGUCUUCCUAUGAAGCUCAGUAUAGCCUUAACCUGGAUUUAUGAUUCACAUACAUCUCAGAUUCAUGAUUUUCCUGCCUGAGCCUCCCAAGUACUGGAAUUACAGGCAUGCACUUCCAUGCCUUGCCAACAUUUGUAAGACACCUUGAGGGAGAAAGUGUUAAUUCUUAAGAACUUACUAGUUAAAAGACACACUGGAAAGUGUUCAGCUUUAAAAAGUUUAUAUAAAUGUAUUUUUCUCUGAUUUUCAUACAGGCAAGAAAGAGAAAAAAGGAAAACUACCUACACAGGGGGCUAACAACAGGAAACUUGUAAAAACCCCACUGGUACAGUUUAUACAGCACAACCAUGUACAUCAGGAAUGAGAAGGAAUGAAGUCUCCACCUAACACUGAGAUUGUCAGCAAUGCACGAGGCUCAGGACUCCAUCAGCUUCACCCACAUGACACAUUGAAGCAUCAAAAUCACAUUACUAUGAUGCCCAAGUUACAGAUAUGGAAACUGAGGCACAGCACAGCUGCAUGACUUGCUCAAGGUCAUGUCCCUGCUACCACAAGAGCUGGAUGUGGACGUGGGCUCUCUCAGGACCCUAUCAGUGCCUUUUACUAGGUGGGCAGGACUGUCAGGGACUCAAGGUCUCCUCUCAGCCAACUGCACUCUUCAGUCAGCAGUUACAUAAGGGCCAUCCUGACUGCACUGGAAAGGUCAAUGCCUUGCCAUCUCUCACUGAGAAGGCAGCAGGGCUGCCCUAGCGGUCUCCACAAGGCUUCUGCCUUCUUCCCUGUCCCUCUUCAGGUGGCACAAGAUUCAGCUUCCAUCUUCUUUGUGAAAAUCAAGUACUCUUGGAGCUCACUGAAGACAAUCGUAAUGUAUGGCAACAGAAAAAGACAUCAGAAUGAGGAUGAAAAUAACAGAACCACGAUGCAGCCUGAAUGAAUCAACUAUGGAAGACUUGACACAGUGCUUGAUCAUUAUUCAUUGCUGAUAAUGCAGAUUCUGACAGCUCAGACUCAGUUUGAGGGAGAGCCUCCUCCUCUCCCUGGCUGCCACCACAGCCUUCUGAAGAAGUGUGCAAAGGGACCUCAUGCUCCAAGCAUGGACAAGUCACGCUCAGUCUCAAGACAUAUGCUAACUCUUCUGAGCCCCCGAAUACCGUGCCCCUGGGAAAAGCUGAAGAACUACAAGUCCCCUGGUACUGCACUGUGCCCACCAAAGACCCAAGAGGGCAGAGGGAUGCUGGGAAUUUAACCAAGUCAUCUGACUCAGACACUGUAAAACAUGGGGCAGAGCUUUCUGUGUAGUGAAGAGUUAGGCAGCUGAAAUUCAAUCUCUGUGAAGUGAUAAGCCUUAAUUUCUGAGAACCCCAUUACUAAGAUCUUUAACUCAACACAGUAGGGCAGUACUUAGUCAAAUAACAAUAUAAAGACAUAGAGGGAAAGGCCCCGUGCCAACUUUCAGGUUUAGAAGUGUAUUUCAUGAUUUUUUUCAGCAGUACAUUUUAGAACAAAACUAACCCAGCAACGAACUACAUGUACAUAAACUCAGGAGUUGCCUAAACCAGGGGACUUUGUAUAAAAGAUUCUAUUCAUAAAUAAAACAACCUUCGUUCAAAGUAA
This is a long non-coding RNA of Cavia porcellus (domestic guinea pig), 1993 nucleotides long. RefSeq lists it as uncharacterized. NCBI's taxonomy places the organism in Eukaryota, Metazoa, Chordata, Mammalia, Rodentia, Caviidae. The transcript has 5 exons. The record is from RefSeq and is a predicted model, not a curated record.